Exaiptasia diaphana is the source of this 411-nucleotide long non-coding RNA. RefSeq lists it as uncharacterized. The transcript has 3 exons. The record is from RefSeq and is a predicted model, not a curated record. NCBI's taxonomy places the organism in Eukaryota, Metazoa, Cnidaria, Anthozoa, Actiniaria, Aiptasiidae.
CGUACACAAAGUGUUAAUAUUUCAUUCAUGAAUCCUAAAGUUUCGAUAUCACAAUGGAUCGUUUAAGACAAAGAAGAAACGAGCGCAAGCAAAAGUCACGCCCUACAGGAUGUCUUGCUAGAGCGUGGCAUGCUGUCGUGAAUUUCUUUUUUUACUGCAUCGUGAACAGCACUGCUGUGGAUGACGACCAAGUACCCGAUGAGGCCGAGCAGUACGUCCCAUCUCAUCAAGCUUCACAAGCCUCGUUGAAGUCGCAAAACAGCAGCCUUCACAACGUGCUGUUUCACAAUACAAGCAGUCACGAACCACGACAUUUUAAUUGCAAAGACCGUCAACCAUCCGUAGAUGCUUCGCCAAGCAAAGUCAGCCUCAAAUCUCAACUCUCGACACAAAGUAAAAGUUCGAGCAAAA